UUGUUACAGGUUGAAAAAUGUAAUGGGCCAUUUGGAUGGUUCCUAAGGGUUUCCUCGGCUUUCCAUAUGUUAGUUCCUUUCCAUAUAUCUGCUUUCAGUUGAUGACUUGCUAUGGUGUCUAGUUUAUCCAUUAGUGGUAUGUUUAAAAUUGUGUUUAUAGGAAUUGGAAAUGUGGAACAUUAAUCAAUAUAAAUGUAUUGUUUGAUAUAAACAAGAGUAUAACUGGAACUAGAAAUUAGUGUUUUACAAAGAGUAUAACAGUCACCUAUUGACUAGAUAAUAGAUAUGUUCUACUUAAUAAUGAAGUUGUUGGUUCUGCACUGAUUUACAAUUUUUUUUAAUUCUGGUUUUUGCUAAUGUAGGUGAUGAAGCCGAUGAUGCAGACUGGAACUUUGUGUUAUGUGAGAGUUAAAACAUUAAAUAUCAGUUCCCCUAUCUUGGCUGCUAAAAGUCCUUAUUUCUACGAGAAAAAGGUGCUCUUAUGCAGUUAUUGAAUUUUAUGUAUAGUAGUACAUUGACCAAUACUUCAGCAAGAAAUAGUCCAACCAUUGUGUGAUGCAGCAAAGCUGUUUCUUGUUAAUAAAUUCAAGGAUAUAGCCAACUAUCGAGGAGCUUAUGACCUUGCCAUUAGCUGGUAUAGAAGCAGUAAUUUCUAGUGAUGAUCUCCAGGUUGCAUCUGAAGAUGUUGCCAUUUUAUGUUUAAUUGGUUGUUUUGUUAUUUUACUUUUGAAUUUGUAUUUGAAUGAGAUUAUAGUUUAUGUAUGUAGUACUUUUAAUUUGAAUAAUAUUUUAAAGUUUACAUUAGACUAUAAUUAUAUUUUAAUGUGUUUAUUAUAUUUUAUUUAUUAUUUUAUUAUAAAACGGUUUUUUCGGUUCAACCACGGUCGAACCGAUUGAACCUAUGAACCAGUAAACCAGUAGCUAAAACAGUUCGAUGACCGGUUCGGUUCUCAGAACCUUGAUUAUUCCGUACGGACACACGAGAGGAAAGGGCUACCCUUAGAGGUGGAGCCGCCCAGGUGUAAACUUUUGAUUUGAUUUCUAUAUGAGAACUCCCUUAUUGAUUCACUUAUUAUUAUCAACUGCUAUUUUCUAGCUUAAAUUACUUUGAUAACAAUGUUUAUAUGGUCUCAUGUGGAUUAAGAUGUAUU
Molecule: long non-coding RNA, 1151 nt
Organism: Arachis duranensis
Lineage: Eukaryota; Viridiplantae; Streptophyta; Magnoliopsida; Fabales; Fabaceae
Exons: 3
Source: RefSeq, a predicted model, not a curated record